RNAcentral lists this ribosomal RNA (1525 nucleotides) under Staphylococcus aureus M1317. RNAcentral's name for it is "partial 16S ribosomal RNA". It matches the Rfam family "Bacterial small subunit ribosomal RNA". Lineage: Bacteria; Bacillati; Bacillota; Bacilli; Caryophanales; Staphylococcaceae. The record is from RNAcentral.
AGAGUUUGAUCCUGGCUCAGGAUGAACGCUGGCGGCGUGCCUAAUACAUGCAAGUCGAGCGAACGGACGAGAAGCUUGCUUCUCUGAUGUUAGCGGCGGACGGGUGAGUAACACGUGGAUAACCUACCUAUAAGACUGGGAUAACUUCGGGAAACCGGAGCUAAUACCGGAUAAUAUUUUGAACCGCAUGGUUCAAAAGUAAAAGACGGUCUUGCUGUCACUUAUAGAUGGAUCCGCGCUGCAUUAGCUAGUUGGUAAGGUAACGGCUUACCAAGGCAACGAUGCAUAGCCGACCUGAGAGGGUGAUCGGCCACACUGGAACUGAGACACGGUCCAGACUCCUACGGGAGGCAGCAGUAGGGAAUCUUCCGCAAUGGGCGAAAGCCUGACGGAGCAACGCCGCGUGAGUGAUGAAGGUCUUCGGAUCGUAAAACUCUGUUAUUAGGGAAGAACAUAUGUGUAAGUAACUGUGCACAUCUUGACGGUACCUAAUCAGAAAGCCACGGCUAACUACGUGCCAGCAGCCGCGGUAAUACGUAGGUGGCAAGCGUUAUCCGGAAUUAUUGGGCGUAAAGCGCGCGUAGGCGGUUUUUUAAGUCUGAUGUGAAAGCCCACGGCUCAACCGUGGAGGGUCAUUGGAAACUGGAAAACUUGAGUGCAGAAGAGGAAAGUGGAAUUCCAUGUGUAGCGGUGAAAUGCGCAGAGAUAUGGAGGAACACCAGUGGCGAAGGCGACUUUCUGGUCUGUAACUGACGCUGAUGUGCGAAAGCGUGGGGAUCAAACAGGAUUAGAUACCCUGGUAGUCCACGCCGUAAACGAUGAGUGCUAAGUGUUAGGGGGUUUCCGCCCCUUAGUGCUGCAGCUAACGCAUUAAGCACUCCGCCUGGGGAGUACGACCGCAAGGUUGAAACUCAAAGGAAUUGACGGGGACCCGCACAAGCGGUGGAGCAUGUGGUUUAAUUCGAAGCAACGCGAAGAACCUUACCAAAUCUUGACAUCCUUUGACAACUCUAGAGAUAGAGCCUUCCCCUUCGGGGGACAAAGUGACAGGUGGUGCAUGGUUGUCGUCAGCUCGUGUCGUGAGAUGUUGGGUUAAGUCCCGCAACGAGCGCAACCCUUAAGCUUAGUUGCCAUCAUUAAGUUGGGCACUCUAAGUUGACUGCCGGUGACAAACCGGAGGAAGGUGGGGAUGACGUCAAAUCAUCAUGCCCCUUAUGAUUUGGGCUACACACGUGCUACAAUGGACAAUACAAAGGGCAGCGAAACCGCGAGGUCAAGCAAAUCCCAUAAAGUUGUUCUCAGUUCGGAUUGUAGUCUGCAACUCGACUACAUGAAGCUGGAAUCGCUAGUAAUCGUAGAUCAGCAUGCUACGGUGAAUACGUUCCCGGGUCUUGUACACACCGCCCGUCACACCACGAGAGUUUGUAACACCCGAAGCCGGUGGAGUAACCUUUUAGGAGCUAGCCGUCGAAGGUGGGACAAAUGAUUGGGGUGAAGUCGUAACAAGGUAGCCGUAUCGGAAGGU